UACAUAGGGGGCAAGCGUUAUCCGGAUUUACUGGGUGUAAAGGGAGCGCAGACGGAUAUGCAAGUCUGAAGUGAAACCCCACGGCUCAACUGUGGGCUUGCUUUGGAAGCUGUAAAUCUAGAGUGCUGGAGAGGCAAGCCGAACUCCUAGUGUAGCGGUGAAAUGCGUAGAUAUUAGGAGGAACACCGGUGGCGGAGGCGGCUUGCUGGACAGUAACUGACGUUGAGGCUCGAAGGCGUGGGGAGCAAAC
RNAcentral lists this ribosomal RNA (250 nucleotides) under uncultured prokaryote. Its description in RNAcentral is "partial 16S ribosomal RNA". It matches the Rfam family "Bacterial small subunit ribosomal RNA", at positions 524 to 773 of the family's 1533-position model. The record is from RNAcentral.